RNAcentral lists this ribosomal RNA (306 nucleotides) under Salmonella enterica. Its description in RNAcentral is "bacterial SSU rRNA". It matches the Rfam family "Bacterial small subunit ribosomal RNA", at positions 110 to 419 of the family's 1533-position model. RNAcentral also lists the same sequence under 2 other names. The record is from RNAcentral. Lineage: Bacteria; Pseudomonadati; Pseudomonadota; Gammaproteobacteria; Enterobacterales; Enterobacteriaceae.
GUAAUGUCUGGGAAACUGCCUGAUGGAGGGGGAUAACUACUGGAAACGGUGGCUAAUACCGCAUAACGUCGCAAGACCAAAGAGGGGGACCUUCGGGCCUCUUGCCAUCAGAUGUGCCCAGAUGGGAUUAGCUUGUUGGUGAGGUAACGGCUCACCAAGGCGACGAUCCCUAGCUGGUCUGAGAGGAUGACCAGCCACACUGGAACUGAGACACGGUCCAGACUCCUACGGGAGGCAGCAGUGGGGAAUAUUGCACAAUGGGCGCAAGCCUGAUGCAGCCAUGCCGCGUGUAUGAAGAAGGCCUUC